UACGAAGGGGGCUAGCGUUGCUCGGAAUUACUGGGCGUAAAGGGCGCGUAGGCGGACAGUUAAGUCGGGGGUGAAAGCCCGGGGCUCAACCUCGGAAUUGCCUUCGAUACUGGCUGUCUUGAGUGCGGGAGAGGUGUGUGGAACUCCGAGUGUAGAGGUGAAAUGCGUAGAUAUCGGGAGGAACACCUGUGGCGAAAGCGGCUCACUGGACCGCAACUGACGCUGAGGCGCGAAAGCUAGGGGAGCAAACAGG
Molecule: ribosomal RNA, 253 nt
Filed under: uncultured prokaryote
Description: partial 16S ribosomal RNA
Rfam family: Bacterial small subunit ribosomal RNA
Source: RNAcentral